Molecule: ribosomal RNA, 301 nt
Filed under: uncultured bacterium
Lineage: Bacteria
Description: partial 16S ribosomal RNA
Rfam family: Bacterial small subunit ribosomal RNA
Source: RNAcentral
CAGUCGCCGCGGUAAUACGCAGGGUGCAAGCGUUAAUCGGAAUUACUGGGCGUAAAGCGUGCGCAGGCGGUUCUAUAAGACAGAUGUGAAAUCCCCGGGCUCAACCUGGGAACUGCAUUUGUGACUGUAGAGCUCGAGUACGGUAGAGGGGGAUGGAAUUCCGCGUGUAGCAGUGAAAUGCGUAGAUAUGCGGAGGAACACCGAUGGCGAAGGCAAUCCCCUGGACCUGUACUGACGCUCAUGCACGAAAGCGUGGGGAGCAAACAGGAUUAGAUACCCCCGUAGUCCCUGUCUCUUAUAU